GUGAAUCAUCGAAUCUUUGAACGCAAAUUGCACUCUCCUCGGAGAGUAUGCCUGUUUGAGGGUCAGCCUCUAAAAAUCGACAUCGUUGCUGUUUUGCGGUGUCGUUCGUUGGCACUUGGGUUAUCUUAAAUCCUUUUGGCUUUAAGCGACUCAAAAUUUUCUUUUUGGUUUAUGAACGUUUCUAAGAUUUUUUUCCUUACACUUUUAAGGGUAUCGAUUUUUAUUAGUCGUGAUCAUCAUAUCGGACUGUGUUUAUUAUCUUU
This 263-nucleotide unclassified non-coding RNA is filed under the name Glomeraceae sp. Its description in RNAcentral is "partial contains 5.8S ribosomal RNA and internal transcribed spacer 2". The stretch from base 1 to 65 matches the Rfam family "5.8S ribosomal RNA", at positions 84 to 154 of the family's 154-position model. Lineage: Eukaryota; Fungi; Glomeromycota; Glomeromycetes; Glomerales; Glomeraceae. The record is from RNAcentral.